RNAcentral lists this ribosomal RNA (245 nucleotides) under uncultured bacterium. RNAcentral's name for it is "partial 16S ribosomal RNA". It matches the Rfam family "Bacterial small subunit ribosomal RNA", at positions 524 to 768 of the family's 1533-position model. The record is from RNAcentral.
UACGUAGGUGGCGAGCGUUGUCCGGAAUUACUGGGUGUAAAGGGCGUGUAGACGGGUAUGCAAGUCAGAUGUGAAAUACCAGGGCUUAACUCUGGGGCUGCAUCUGAAACUGUGUAUCUUGAGUGCUGGAGAGGAAAGCGGAAUUCCCAGUGUAGCGGUGAAAUGCGUAGAUAUUAGGAGGAACACCAGUGGCGAAGGCGGCUUUCUGGACAGUAACUGACGUUGAGGCGCGAAAGCGUGGGGAG